GACGAACGCUGGCGGCGUGCCUAAUACAUGCAAGUAGAACGCACAGUUUAUACCGUAGCUUGCUACACCAUAGACUGUGAGUUGCGAACGGGUGAGUAACGCGUAGGUAACCUGCCUGGUAGCGGGGGAUAACUGUUGGAAACGAUAGCUAAUACCGCAUAAUAUUAAUUAUUGCAUGAUAAUUAAUUGAAAGGUGCAAUUGCACCACUACCAGAUGGACCUGCGUUGUAUUAGCUCGUAGGUGAGGUAACGGCUCACCUAGGCGACGAUACAUAGCCGACCUGAGAGGGUGAUCGGCCACACUGGACUGAGACACGGCCCAGACUCCUACGGGAGGCAGCAGUAGGGAAUCUUCGGCAAUGGACGAAAGUCUGACCGAGCAACGCCGCGUGAGUGAAGAAGGUUUUCGGAUCGUAAAGCUCUGUUGUAAGAGAAGAACGGGUGUGAGAGUGGAAAGUUCACACUGUGACGGUAUCUUACCAGAAAGGGACGGCUAACUACGUGC
RNAcentral lists this ribosomal RNA (505 nucleotides) under uncultured Streptococcus sp. RNAcentral's name for it is "bacterial SSU rRNA". It matches the Rfam family "Bacterial small subunit ribosomal RNA", at positions 28 to 508 of the family's 1533-position model. The record is from RNAcentral. Lineage: Bacteria; Bacillati; Bacillota; Bacilli; Lactobacillales; Streptococcaceae.